RNAcentral lists this long non-coding RNA (324 nucleotides) under Populus tremula. Its description in RNAcentral is "long non-coding RNA (PTRE_LNC001481)". Lineage: Eukaryota; Viridiplantae; Streptophyta; Magnoliopsida; Malpighiales; Salicaceae. The record is from RNAcentral.
CUUCUUCUUCUCCACCUUUGCCCACUUUGGUUGAGGAGAUCGGCCCGAGGGAAUGUUGCUGGCGCGGUGGCUGUCGGGGUCGUUUACGGUAUGGAAAAGAGUAUGAAUGGAGGGGUGGCGAUGGAAUGGUUGUUCGGGUUUGGUUUUUCCGAAAAAUUAAAAGAAAAGGAGAAGAAGAAGAUAAAGGGGGGGGGGGGGAGAUGGCGAGCUAGGGGCGUGGGGUUGCUGGUUCGGUUCGGCGGUCGUUGUGGUGGUUAGUUCAGUGGUUGUUGUGGCUGGUUGAGGUGGAGACGAGGGAGGGCUGACACGAUGGUUAUUUAUGGG